UCCACGCCCUAAACGUUGGAUGCUAGGUGUGGGGGGUGUCGACCCCCUCUGUGCCGUAGUUAACGCUUUAAGCAUCCCGCCUGGGGAGUACGGCCGCAAGGCUAAAACUCAAAGGAAUUGACGGGGGCCCGCACAAGCGGCGGAGCGUGUGGUUUAAUUCGAUGCAACGCGAAGAACCUUACCAGGGCUUGACAUGCCGGUGGUACUGAUCCGAAAGGUGAGGGACCCUUCGGG
Molecule: ribosomal RNA, 234 nt
Filed under: uncultured bacterium
Lineage: Bacteria
Description: partial 16S ribosomal RNA
Rfam family: Bacterial small subunit ribosomal RNA
Source: RNAcentral